This 433-nucleotide ribosomal RNA is filed under the name uncultured bacterium. Its description in RNAcentral is "partial 16S ribosomal RNA". It matches the Rfam family "Bacterial small subunit ribosomal RNA", at positions 29 to 507 of the family's 1533-position model. The record is from RNAcentral.
AACGAACGCUGGCGGCAUGCCUAACACAUGCAAGUCGAACGAUCCCUUCGGGGAUAGUGGCGCACGGGUGCGUAACGCGUGGGAACCUGCCCUUAGGUUCGGCAUAACUCAGAGAAAUUUGAGCUAAUACCGGACAAUGUCUUCGGACCAAAGAUUUAUCGCCUUUGGAUGGGCCCGCGUUGGAUUAGCUAGUUGGUGGGGUAAAGGCCUACCAAGGCGACGAUCCAUAGCUGGUCUGAGAGGAUGAUCAGCCACACUGGGACUGAGACGCGGCCCAGACUCCUACGGGAGGCGGCAGUGGGGAAUAUUGGACAAUGGGCGAAGGCCUGAGCCAGCAAUGCCGCGUGAGUGAUGAAGGCCUUAGGGUUGUAAAGCUCUUUUACCCGGGAUGAUAAUGACAGUACCGGGAGAAUAAGCCCCGGCUAACUCCGUG